UCUCCGUUGGUGAACCAGCGGAGGGAUCAUUAUCGAGUUUAUAACUCCCAAACCCUAUGUGAACUUACCACUUGUUGCUUCGGCGCGCGCUUCGGUGCCGCCGAGGACACUUAAACUCCUUGUUUUUAUAAGCAUUUCUGAGUGGCCGAAAGGCAAAAUACAAAUGAAUCAAAACUUUCAACAACGGAUCUCUUGGUUCUG
RNAcentral lists this unclassified non-coding RNA (201 nucleotides) under plant metagenome. RNAcentral's name for it is "partial contains small subunit ribosomal RNA, internal transcribed spacer 1, and 5.8S ribosomal RNA". The record is from RNAcentral.